AAACCUUAUCAUUACUCUCUCUCUCUCACUAGCUCUUCUCCAGUAGUCCGUCCGUCCUUCACCUCGCUCCUCAGCAGCUCCAUGUAUGGAGCUUUCCUAGCUGGCGCCUACAACAAGCAAGGAACCAGCAGCAAGCAAGCAAGAUCCAGUACUACUCCUCCCACUCAUACUGUCAUCCUAUCUAGGGUUUUGCUCUGGCUGACUCGAUCCCCGGCCGGCCCAAUCUAUCGAUCCGCUUCUUCUUCUUCUUCAUUCUAACCGGCCAGGCCAGGGCCGCCCCGGCCCGGCCGGCCUUAUAUAUACCUAGCUCUCUUGCUUGCCUAGAUCGAUCCAUGUAGCCAGCCAGCUAUAGCCCGGCCGGCCCCUUCCCAGGUCUCAUCACCUCCGAUCCCUUAUUAGCUCGUGCCCCGGCAAUCUUCACCUUACCUUGUUCAAUUCGCCUGCUAUAUGCUACUUUCUCUCUCGAUAUACGCGAGUGUAGAUGGAUCAAUCGAUCCUCGACUCACGCAUCUCCGUCCAUCCCCUUCUUUGUCCGGCGGCGGCGGCGGCGGCGGCUACUGUGGUGUACUACACGUGUGGCGCGUGGAAAGAUAAGCAGAUCGUGCGUGCAGUCCGGUUCUUGAUUCUUCGCUUCUCUAUAUAUCUCUUCCCUUUUUGAUCUAUCCUUCCUCACGGUGUCUAAUUUGAUGCGUUAAGUUCCUCUUCUUCUUGAUUCAAAUAAGCUCCUCUUUCAUUCGUGUAUAUCGAUCCAAACAUAUGUAUGGAUGUGGGGUCUUUCUUCCCCUCUUGACGGCCGGGAUUCAGAUAUUAGUCAUCAGAAGCAUGUACUGCAGAUCUCUCCAUCUGUGGACCUUCAUUAGCUUCCUGCCGGAUCACCACGGAAGAAGCUACACGGGUUAUUAUGAAGCAAACAGUCGGUGCUUGCAGGUGCAGCACCAUCAAGAUUCACAUCAAACUCAUCUUCAGUUAUGCGCUGGUUCGCACUGCAUACCUGUUGAGAUGAGAAUCUUGAUGAUGCUGCAUCAGCAGACACUCACUCAUCACCUUGAAGCUAAUAAGGGUGAGAGGAUCCAUCCGGUGCAGCAAUUGGGAACGAACGACCAAACUGAAGAUAAAUCCGAAGUGUUUAUAUUUUGCCUGAUGUUGGGCCCAGAAAGAAGCAGCAUUCAGCAGAUGUGUUGUGAUUUGCCCUUUCCUCACUCACUCCAUUUCAACUGGCAUGCAUCGUCAAACCCUCAUAUUCUCAAGGUAGGCGAGUCUGAUCUUGCUUGGUUUUAUUUCCAGGUGGGAGAACCAAGCUAUAUGCUUGAUGAUUAACGAGGCCAGGCCGGGGCACCAUGAUUUUAUGGUGUAUUAUAUAUUAUGAGAUUAUUAUUAAUUGCGGGUUCAUUCAUUCCCUGCUGCUUUGAUCUGCACGGCAGAAAGCGGAAGGAAGAGCUCACCAAUUCCCUUUGCUUGGCACAUCAUUGUGUUGUGCACAUUUGCUGAUGUUGAGGAUAAUUUCCUCUGGAAGAUCGAAGUGGCUGCUGGACAUCAUUAAGCUUACGCCGAGCUUAAAGGUUCUGGUGUUUUCCCGGGCCCCUUUUUGAAGUGAGAUACAUCUUUGGUCCAUAUCCUCCCUCGAUUAAGAUUAGUCCAGUACUACUGGUAUGUAAGAUUGACCACAGCACACAUGCAGAGCUAGCAUCAUCAUCCUAUUAUUAGAGCUAGCUAGGGAUCGGAGGGACAAAUUAAUAAACACAGUCAUCAAACAUUAGUUAUGACUAAUUAGUUAGUAUACGUAUGCGAAGAGUUCUGUUUCCUUAAUCAUUCUCUGUCGUCUAUAUAUAAUGCAUAUACUUUAUUUCUUCUUGUCCCAAUAUAAUGCAAACCCAACACUGCUGCACUCGCGUCGGCAUCAUCACCUGACGAUUGACGUACAGAUAUGCUGAUCUACAAAAUAUUCCCAAUCAUCAUUAGCUGAGAUGUUGUGUCACCCUAGCUAGCUGCAUAUAUUCUGUAGUUGUAUCUGCAGUACUCUCUGCUGCUACCUCGCUCAGACAUUAUAUAUGCUUGCCUAUUAAUUUGCUCCUGAUGCCUGUGUGCGUUUCCUCCUACACACAACCAAAUGCAAAGUGCAGGCAUCCUAUCUCCCUCACCAGAGCCUACUUUAUUUUUUCUUAAUCGGUACUGUAGUCAUCAUAAGCUAGCUUAAUCGUUCCUGGUAAUAGAUGGUAUAUAAUAAUGUAAAACCUUUAGAAAAAUGGGACUGACCAAUAAGUCUCUCCGAGAUUUGUGUGUGAUAGGUAAGAUGGAAGGGUAUCUUAGCUUAUUGUGGUAUCUAUUUUAUUUAUUUAUUUAUUUAAAAUUCUCUUCUGAUAAUGUGAAUAUAUGUGCUGUUCAUGAGUUCGUCAUGCAGUGCCAUGGUCCACACUGCGGCUACCAAGCUGCAGCAGCCAUGAUAUCAUGAGGAAGAGUGAAGAGAAUAACACAAUACCGGGAAGCAGUGCAAGAAGGGGCAUGUAUAUGAUCGAUUCAGCAAGAGCAGUGGCAGUUGAUGAUAUGGUGAAGAGAUCAGCGUGCCUGAGUAGAGAUCGAUGCAUAUGCUGCUGCGCUUCAACUUGUUGGAGUGUGGACCAUUAUAUUGCACUGCAUUGCAUACAUGGAUCGAUCAUAUGGACGGGAUGCAGAGAGAGGCAGGCAUGCAGAUGCAGGGGGUGGUACGUACGCAGCUAGUACGUUGCUAUUAUUGUGCCAAAGGAAGGGGACCAAUACACGCAUAAUGCACACACCAGAGCAGAGCUGCAAGCAGGCGAGGGACAAGCCUUGCAGACUCUGGUGGCGGUGGUACAACGUACCACUGCUCAGCUCACUGGCCGGCCCAACGACAAUGCCGCAUGCAGUUAAUAAUAAAGGUGAAAAUUUUCAACUCACCUUACCUACAUAUUAUUACUUCUGCCUUUCUGCAGGCUGCAGGCUGCAGGUCUUUGUGUGUGUUUCUGUUCUCCCACCCUUUACUUGUAGAUCUUUAAUAGUUUCAGUUCACACUGCAUGCAUGCAUCCAUAUAUAUCUGUAAAGCCUGCAAAUUAAUUUAUGUUGGAUUGCCACAUACUUACCUGAUGAUGAUCA
Panicum hallii is the source of this 3109-nucleotide long non-coding RNA. RefSeq lists it as uncharacterized. Lineage: Eukaryota; Viridiplantae; Streptophyta; Magnoliopsida; Poales; Poaceae. The record is from RefSeq and is a predicted model, not a curated record. The transcript has 2 exons.